RNAcentral lists this transfer RNA (73 nucleotides) under Aeromicrobium sp. Root236. RNAcentral's name for it is "tRNA-His". It matches the Rfam family "tRNA". Rfam says of the family: Transfer RNA (tRNA) molecules are approximately 80 nucleotides in length. Lineage: Bacteria; Bacillati; Actinomycetota; Actinomycetes; Propionibacteriales; Nocardioidaceae. The record is from RNAcentral.
GUGUCCGUGGUGUAAAGGCAGCACGCCUCCUUGUGACGGAGGCGGUACCGGUUCAAUUCCGGUCGGACACCCA